AUUGAACGCUAGCGGGAUGCUUUACACAUGCAAGUCGAACGAGUGGCGGACGGGUGAGUAAUAUAUCGGAACGUGCCCAGUAGCGGGGGAUAACUACUCGAAAGAGUGGCUAAUACCGCAUACUAUUGUACGGGCCGGUAACGGAUUAGCUAGUUGGUGGGGUAAAGGCUAACUAAGGCCACGAUCCGUAGCGGGUUUGAGAGGACGACCAGCCACACUGGGACUGAGACACGGCCCCGACUCCUACGUGAGGCAGCAGUGGGGAAUUUUGGACAAUGGGGGAAACCCUGAUCCAGCCAUCCCGCGUGUAUGAGAAGGCCCUAGGGUUGUAAAGUACUUUCAGUCGGGAGGCGUUACCGACAGAAGAAGCACCGGCUAACUCCGUGCCAGCAGCCGCGGUAAUUC
RNAcentral lists this ribosomal RNA (405 nucleotides) under uncultured bacterium. RNAcentral describes it as "partial 16S ribosomal RNA". It matches the Rfam family "Bacterial small subunit ribosomal RNA", at positions 30 to 526 of the family's 1533-position model. The record is from RNAcentral.